AACCAAAUUACAAAAAAAAACGUCUA
This 26-nucleotide small RNA is filed under the name Arabidopsis thaliana (thale cress). Its description in RNAcentral is "ATSL059530". The record is from RNAcentral. Lineage: Eukaryota; Viridiplantae; Streptophyta; Magnoliopsida; Brassicales; Brassicaceae.